GUCCGGGUGGCGGAAUAGGUAGACGCGCUAGCUUGAGGUGCUAGUGCCCGCAAGGGCAUGGGGGUUCGAGUCCCCCCUCGGACA
Molecule: transfer RNA, 84 nt
Filed under: Thermasporomyces composti
Lineage: Bacteria; Bacillati; Actinomycetota; Actinomycetes; Propionibacteriales; Nocardioidaceae
Rfam family: tRNA
About the family: Transfer RNA (tRNA) molecules are approximately 80 nucleotides in length. Their secondary structure includes four short double-helical elements and three loops (D, anti-codon, and T loops).
Source: Rfam by way of RNAcentral